CGUGUAGGCGGCCAGGUAGGUCGGUUGUGAAAACUAGAGGCUCAACCUCUAGACGUCGGCCGAAACCACUUGGCUAGAGUCCGGAAGAGGAGAGUGGAAUUCCUGGUGUAGCGGUGAAAUGCGCAGAUAUCAGGAAGAACACCCGUGGCGAAGGCGGCUCUCUGGGAUGGUACUGACGCUGAGACGCGAAAGCGUGGGGAGCGAACA
RNAcentral lists this ribosomal RNA (207 nucleotides) under uncultured bacterium. RNAcentral's name for it is "partial 16S ribosomal RNA". It matches the Rfam family "Bacterial small subunit ribosomal RNA", at positions 568 to 774 of the family's 1533-position model. The record is from RNAcentral.